AGUGAACGCUGGCGGUAGGCCUAACACAUGCAAGUCGAACGGCAACACAGUAAGAGCUUGCUCUUACGGGUGGCGGGUGGCGGACGGGUGAGGAAUACAUCGGAAUCUACUUUUUCGUGGGGGAUAACGUAGGGAAACUUACGCUAAUACCGCAUACGACCUACGGGUGAAAGCAGGGGAUCUUCGGACCUUGCGCGAUUGAAUGAGCCGAUGUCGGAUUAGCUAGUUGGCGGGGUAAAGGCCCACCAAGGCGACGAUCCGUAGCUGGUCUGAGAGGAUGAUCAGCCACACUGGAACUGAGACACGGUCCAGACUCCUACGGGAGGCAGCAGUGGGGAAUAUUGGACAAUGGGCGCAAGCCUGAUCCAGCCAUACCGCGUGGGUGAAGAAGGCCUUCGGGUUGUAAAGCCCUUUUGUUGGGAAAGAAAAGCAGCAGGUUAAUACCCCGCUGUUCUGACGGUACCCAAAGAAUAAGCACCGGCUAACUUCGUG
This 492-nucleotide ribosomal RNA is filed under the name uncultured bacterium. RNAcentral's name for it is "partial 16S ribosomal RNA". It matches the Rfam family "Bacterial small subunit ribosomal RNA", at positions 29 to 507 of the family's 1533-position model. The record is from RNAcentral.